UCGCCGAUGUCGAUUAUCGUAGUUAUGGCCCGCUUGCGCUUUCUUUGUUCCCGGCCUCUGAUAAUAUCGCAUCGGAUCACAGUGCACGGAACAAUUUGUUGAGCUAUUACGUGCUGUAGUUCAUCCGCAAUUCAACAGUGUUUACGUCGGAAGGAUGGUCGUGCAGUCGACGCCGCGACCUGACAUGAAGGAGCGUUUGCCGACUACGCCUAGAAAGGGAUGUCAAGAUUUCGUGAACCAGAGGCACCGCAUAGGAACCUAAGACAUUUCUGCAGCCGGAACAGCACGGCAAAGCAUCUGAUCUGCAUGCUGCGACAAGGUAUGGCUGGGCCUGGUGAUGAAGUGUAAGCAGAACAUGCUAUGCUGCGAAUUGGUGCCAAUCUUCACAUCCGAGUUGUUCCCACGACAGUCAAGCACCACUGUGAUUUGCUUCAUUGGCAAGGUAAUAUACUAUGGUGCCCUGCAAGCUCUCACCAAAGCAACACAUUCCACUGGUUUUCUGUCAGAGUACCAUUAUAGAAUUUCGAAUAAACUAUGCUUGUCAGAUGUG
This is a long non-coding RNA of Dermacentor silvarum, 550 nucleotides long. RefSeq lists it as uncharacterized. The record is from RefSeq and is a predicted model, not a curated record. The transcript is spliced from 4 exons. NCBI's taxonomy places the organism in Eukaryota, Metazoa, Arthropoda, Arachnida, Ixodida, Ixodidae.